RNAcentral lists this small RNA (85 nucleotides) under Chryseobacterium wanjuense. RNAcentral's name for it is "Flavo-1 RNA". It matches the Rfam family "Flavo-1 RNA". The record is from RNAcentral. Lineage: Bacteria; Pseudomonadati; Bacteroidota; Flavobacteriia; Flavobacteriales; Weeksellaceae.
UUCGCAGCCCGACUUGAGCGGAAAUCCUUUUUUGCUUUGGGAAAGCUUAGGCAAAAAAGAUUGGGAGCGGAAGGCGGAAAAGCUG